Molecule: transfer RNA, 73 nt
Organism: Variovorax sp. PAMC 28711
Lineage: Bacteria; Pseudomonadati; Pseudomonadota; Betaproteobacteria; Burkholderiales; Comamonadaceae
Rfam family: tRNA
About the family: Transfer RNA (tRNA) molecules are approximately 80 nucleotides in length. Their secondary structure includes four short double-helical elements and three loops (D, anti-codon, and T loops).
Source: Rfam
GGGCUCUUAGCUCAGUUGGUAGAGCAGCGGACUCUUAAUCCGUAGGUCGAGUGUUCGAGUCACUCAGGGCCCA